Coregonus clupeaformis (lake whitefish) is the source of this 75-nucleotide small nucleolar RNA. The record is from RefSeq and is a predicted model, not a curated record. Lineage: Eukaryota; Metazoa; Chordata; Actinopteri; Salmoniformes; Salmonidae.
CUCUGACGUGAUGAGUUCUCAUUACCGCCCCAGUCUGAUGUAAAGCUGACUGAUUGGUUACCCCUCUGAUCAAGG